This 95-nucleotide small nuclear RNA is filed under the name Cavia porcellus (domestic guinea pig). The record is from RNAcentral. Lineage: Eukaryota; Metazoa; Chordata; Mammalia; Rodentia; Caviidae.
UUCCUGGCCCUGGCAGCACAAAUAUUAAAAUUGGAAUGAUACUGAGAUUAGCAUGACCCUUGCAAAGGAUGGCACUUUAAGUGUUCUCUAUUUAA